GACGAACGCUGGCGGCGUGCUUAACACAUGCAAGUCGAACGGUGAAGCGCCUUCCUUUUUGGUGGGUGUGGAUGAGUGGCGAACGGGUGAGUAACACGUGAGUAACCUGCCCCCUUCUUCUGGAUAACCGCAUGAAAGUGUGGCUAAUACGGGAUAUUCUGGGUCUGUCGCAUGAUGGGUCUGGGAAAGAUAUUGUUUCGGUGGGGGAUGGGCUCGCGGCCUAUCAGCUUGUUGGGGGGGUGAUGGCCUACCAAGGCGGUGACGGGUAGCCGGCCUGAGAGGGUGGACGGUCACACUGGGACUGAGACACGGCCCAGACUCCUACGGGAGGCAACAGUGGGGAAUAUUGCACAAUGGGCGCAAGCCUGAUGCAGCGACGCCGCGUGAGGGAUGGAGGCCUUCGGGUUGUGAACCUCUUUCGCCAGUGAAGCAGGCCUGCCUCGUUUGUGGGUGGGUUGACGGUAGCUGGAUAAGAAGCGCCGGCUAACUACGUG
This 494-nucleotide ribosomal RNA is filed under the name uncultured bacterium. RNAcentral's name for it is "partial 16S ribosomal RNA". It matches the Rfam family "Bacterial small subunit ribosomal RNA", at positions 28 to 507 of the family's 1533-position model. The record is from RNAcentral.